RNAcentral lists this long non-coding RNA (616 nucleotides) under Cairina moschata (Muscovy duck). RNAcentral's name for it is "domestica (muscovy Duck (domestic type)) lncRNA (ENSCMMG00000000765.1)". Lineage: Eukaryota; Metazoa; Chordata; Aves; Anseriformes; Anatidae. The record is from RNAcentral.
GCUGCUCUCAAAAGAUUUUAUAAUAUCAGCCUUAAAAAUCGCAUUUCUUUGGCAAAUUUCUCCAGCAUAAAGGCAGCCAUAAACUGGAAGAAAAAAUGCCUUUAGGCUUACGAAUUCUUCCUUCUCUCAAGCAUCAAAAUGCUGUUAUUUUGAGAAGCGUCUGUGUUCAUUGUUUCUCUGAAAUCUGAACUUUUUCCACUUGGAGACAGUUAACUCCCUGAGAAUCUUGCAGGAACGGUAUUAGAUGUUGAUCUCCUUGCAGGAGGACGGGGUGAAGCAGACAGCCAGGCCACAUCGAUCUGGGCUGCAGGAUGUGUUUAGUGAAAAAUCUAUAGGGCUCAGCUUAGGGUGUCAGCUGUCAGUCUGCAGAGCAUCUGUCAGAGGAGUAUUUGCUUCACUGCCGCUGAAUAGCCCUCAGAAAGCUGAACAGAGGCACCCAGAGGACCGUGAAUAUUGGCAGAACUCCUCAAGAUUGAUUUGUGCAGUGUUGGAAGAUGAUAGGACUUUAAAUCCAUACUUCAGGAGGCCUGAAAAUCACCUAUCUGGAGUGAAGAGAUGGCAACAGGUCACCAGAUGGGUGCAGCCAGCAGCAUCACUGCAGAAGGUGGAAGCCUGA